RNAcentral lists this ribosomal RNA (497 nucleotides) under uncultured bacterium. RNAcentral describes it as "partial 16S ribosomal RNA". It matches the Rfam family "Bacterial small subunit ribosomal RNA", at positions 28 to 507 of the family's 1533-position model. The record is from RNAcentral.
GAUGAACGCUGGCGGUGUGCCUAAUACAUGCAAGUCGAGCGAACAGACGAGGAGCUUACUCCUCUGACGUUAGCGGCGGACGGGUGAGUAACACGUGGAUAACCUACCUAUAAGACUGGGAUAACUUCGGGAAACCGGAGCUAAUACCGGAUAACAUGUUGAACCGCAUGGUUCAACAGUGAAAGACGGUCUUGCUGUCACUUAUAGAUGGAUCCGCGUCGCAUUAGCUAGUUGGUAAGGUAACGGCUUACCAAGGCAACGAUGCGUAGCCGACCUGAGAGGGUGAUCGGACACACUGGAACUGCGACACGGUCCAGACUCCUACGGGAGGCAGCAGUAGGGAAUCUUCGGCAAUGGGCGAAAGCCUGACGGAGCAACGCCGCGUGAGUGAAGAAGGUCUUCGGAUCGUAAAACUCUGUUAUUAGGGAAGAACAAAUGUGUAAGUAACUAUGCACGUCUUGACGGUACCUAAUCAGAAAGCCACGGCUAACUCCGUG